This 497-nucleotide ribosomal RNA is filed under the name uncultured bacterium. RNAcentral's name for it is "partial 16S ribosomal RNA". It matches the Rfam family "Bacterial small subunit ribosomal RNA", at positions 28 to 507 of the family's 1533-position model. The record is from RNAcentral.
GAUGAACGCUGGCGGCGUGCCUAAUACAUGCAAGUCGAGCGAACGGACGAGAAGCUUGCUUUUCUGAUGUUAGCGGCGGACGGGUGAGUAACACGUGGAUAACCUACCUAUAAGACUGGGAUAACUUCGGGAAACCUGAUCUAAUACCGGAUAAUAUUUUGAACCGCAUGGUUCAAAAGUGAAAGACGGUCUUGCUGUCACUUAUAGAUGUAUCCUCGCUGCAUUAGCUAGUUGGUAAGGUAACGGCUUACCAAGGCAACGAUGCAUAGCCGACCUGAGAGGGUGAUCGGCCACACUGGAACUGAGACACGGUCCAGACUCCUACGGGAGGCAGCAGUAGGGAAUCUUCCGCAAUGGGCGAAAGCCUGACGGAGCAACGCCGCGUGAGUGAUGAAGGUCUUCGGAUCGUAAAACUCUGUUAUUAGGGAAGAACAGAUGUGUAAGUAACUGUGCACAUCUUGACGGUACCUAAUCAGAAAGCCACGGCUAACUACGUG